AAUAAGAAGUGGAGCAGUCUGAGACGUGCAGACGGCAUGAGCCACAGGACAAGCAACAGCUGACUUCAGGCUCUGCAGGAGCAGAACAAACAUCGCCCACAGCGCUGGUGUCCCGGAUUUCAGAAUGAGCAAAAGAGGGAGGAGGAGGAGCAGCAGGAGGAGGAAGAGCUCCACCAGCAGCAAACAGAGCUUGUCUCCAUACAUCUUCAAAAAGCAGAGCAACAGCAUCUGCUGCUCGGAUGAUGUGGUUGAAAAGGGGGAAACGGACUCUCUAGGAAAGGAGAACAUUCUUCUGGGAUUUGAGGAGAAGGAAGCGGACAGCAGCGCCCCUCCUGAGGGGAAAAGGUUCAAGCAAGGCUGUGGCUGGACUUUGUUUCCAGGCUGUGAGAGAGUUCACUCGGAAACCGUGAGGCUGGAGGAGGCGGCGGUGAAGAUAGUCACAUCUGUGUCUGUCUCUGAUUUGGGGAACCCCUCCUCCAAGGUCACCUUCCUGCAGUCCCACCAGCCCUCAGGGGAAGACUCCUCCCAUGAGGUCACCAACACCUUCAGAGUCCUCAGCAGUGGGGUACACGUGACCCUGGAAAUUCAGGAAAGGUUUCAGCUGGGUCCACAAAUCCCAGAAUCCUCUCUGGUGCCGGUGAGCGAGAACAGAGCUGACGUGCCAACGGCGUGGUCUUCCGUGCCCGACAACGAGUCAUAUGACGGCAGGUGGCAGCACGGCGUCAGAGUGACCCCCCCCUCCUACACGUUCACGGUGAGAGCCCCGACAGACACGGACGCGGGGGUCUCCUGCAGUCCGGAGGAGUGUCCCUGCUGCAGACACGACCUUCAUGAGCACCGCCCUGCAGGCCUCGUGCUCCUCACCAACACCCGCCCAAAGACCAGAGACAGCCUCGGCACGGACCAGCUCUGGGACAUCCCCCCACCGCCACCGCAGUUUGCAGACGCCCCCUACGGCAGCUUGGAGGACCUGACGGGGGAACUGGCGUCCUUCAGGAUCGCCACUCACAGUCCUGUGCUGAAGCAAAGGCCGUUCCGCCCCCCCGCAGCACCCCGCCUCAGGGGGAGGAGGGCGGAGAUCGGGGCUCCUCCUCCGCUCAGCUGUCAGAGUCUGACAACUGCGAUUCCCUGUUCCCCAGAACGUCCCUGUCCACCAACAGGUCCAGCUUCACCACAGACUUCAUCUGCUGUCAGAGGCGCAGGUCCUGGGUGA
Molecule: long non-coding RNA, 1213 nt
Filed under: Oryzias javanicus (javanese ricefish)
Lineage: Eukaryota; Metazoa; Chordata; Actinopteri; Beloniformes; Adrianichthyidae
Description: lncRNA (ENSOJAG00000008403.1)
Source: RNAcentral